Arachis ipaensis is the source of this 4297-nucleotide non-coding RNA. Lineage: Eukaryota; Viridiplantae; Streptophyta; Magnoliopsida; Fabales; Fabaceae. The record is from RefSeq and is a predicted model, not a curated record.
AAAAGAGAGGAGGUUGUUUGAGUGCUUCUUUUUGAUUUACAGAAAAGGCUUCUAGUCUUCUUAAUUUACCAAAAGGCAAAACGCAUCUGUGGGUUUACCUCACCAACCCUAAACCUCUGCUGCCACCGGAGCUAGGGUUUUACUGCACUUUCUGGCGACUAAUCAGAUUGCAUCAUCCUACAUGGACGACUUCGAAACGGAUGCACUGUACUUCUCUGGGGAAGGUUCAAACGGUGACUUCUGCGAUACAAUCCUAUCUCGCUUCUCCGGUUCCCCCAAGGAAAGCCACUUGCACCUCUGCGCCGUAAUCGGUGCCAUGUCAGGAGCUCAAGGACCAAAAUCUCCCCUCCUCACCUGUCGCUUACUUGGCGCUGCAUGCUCCUCCUUGGACCGCAUAUCAGUGGAACCCAACCCUCCCAGCCACGUCACCGGUGCCCUUCUCACGGUUAUAUCCUCCUCAUUCCGAGAGUGCCCGCUGCGGUGCUGAAGAAGAGGGAGUUCUUGUUGGAGCUGGUGGAGCGAGUUCUUCGGUCGUUGGUGUUAUCAGAGAGUGUCAUGGUUUCAGGAUUGAAGUUCCUUUCGCAUUUGUUGAUUAGAAGGGACAGUGUGUCGUUGGAAUUCCUUACCGAUUCACGACCUAAGGUUAGAAGGCAAGCUUAUUUGUGGCUUCGUGACGUCUUGCUAAACUUCCAAAAAGGCAAAAAUCUUCUCUCUUGGCCUCCGCACGUGAGGGAGUCACAAAACUUCUGCUGACUGGUGGAGAAGAUGCUAAUGCCAGUGAAGGAACUGCAAGAGCCCAGCAGGUUCUGUACAUUCUUGAUGCUUUGAAAGAAAGUGAAGGAACUACGAGAGCCCAGCAGGUUCUGUAUAUUCUUGAUGCUUUGAAAGAAAGCCUUCCCUUUGUGUCACUGAAAUACAAGACCAGCGUUCUCAAGUGCUACAAAACUCUCUUGGAUUUGCAGCAACCUUUAUCACAAGGCGCAUAACAGAUGGCUUGAGUUCCUUUUGUCUUUACCCAACAUCAGAAGUUUUGCCCGACCCAUUUCUCGAGUUGUUAUGCUCGCUUGCUCAUUCUAUCUCAUAAAUCAGACAUCUGGGGAUGGAAUGGCAUUAAUUGCUCCCUUGAUGGCUACUGAAAUGAAUAAAGUUUAUUUGCUCAACAGGCAAAUAUGUGUGGUUAAGCUCCCUCUUGUUUUUUAUGCUCUCAGAGAUAUUUUGGGAUCUAAACAUGAAGAGGCAAUAUAUGCAGCCACUGAUGCCUUUAAGAGCAUGAUUAAUUCUUGUAUUGAUGCAAGCUUGAUUAAGCAGGGAGUGGAUCAGAUCUCUUGCAGUGAUGACAGAGAACCUAGGAAUUCAGGACCAACCAUUUUUGAAAAAAUCUGUGCAACUAUUGAGAGCUUACUUGAUUAUCACUAUACUGCUGUCUGGGACAGAGUAAUACAAGUUGUUUCAGCUAUGUUAACAAAUUAGGAAGAAGUUCUCAUUAUUUUAUGAGAGGAAUACUCAAAAACUUGGUAGAUGUGCAAAAGCUGCAUGAAGAAGAUUUUCUCUUUAAGAAGCAGCUGCAUGAAUGCUUUGGAUCAGCUCUUGUUGCAAUGGGACCUGAACGACUGUUGUCCCUUAUACCUCUGAAUUUGGAAGCUGAAGACUUGUUGGAUGCAAAUAUCUGGCUGUUUCCUUUUCUGAAACAGUAUAUUGGUGCACGAUUAAAUUAUUUUAAAGAAGAAAUUUUGCCCAUGAUUGAACGUACAAGGGAGAUGGCGGCUCAAAGGCUUGAGGAUCUAGAGAUUUCAUCAAGGAAUGGAGAUCCUCUUGCAUACUCUUUGUGGUCUUUGCUGCCAUCAUUUUGCAACUAUCCUGUGGACACUGCUGAAUGUUUUGUGAAUCUACAAGGGCAUUUAUUCAGAGAUAAAAGAGGAACCUGGUGUUUGUGGAAUAAUAUGCAAUAGCUUGCAGCUACUGAUUCAGCAAAACAAGAAUGAUGUGAAAGCAAAUAGCACAGAUUUUAAUGGGCAAGAUAUGGACAAACAAGGUCAUGUCUGUUAUUCGCAACAGGUUGCCAAGGACAAUUGGAAUGUGCUGAAGUCAUCUGCGAGGCACUUGCUAGUUGCUCUGGCAGAUGUAUUCCUGAAGCCUUCAAAAGAUGACGGUGGUUGUUUGCAGCGUACUAUUGGUGAUAUUGCUUCCAUGGCAGACAAGACAGUUGUGUGGAAUUUACUCAUCCGCAGAAUGAGUGGGAUUGAACGACGCCUUGAAGAGGCCGGCAGAGUAGACAACUCUGAGAAUUCUGCAUUAGUUAUCAAGGCAACAGUAUGUUGAUUUUGUAGUUUCCCUGUUGCCUGGUUUAACAGCUGAAGGGAUUCAUGCAUUGUAUCAUGCAAUAAAGGCAGCAUUAAUGGACGCCGAAGGUCUCAUGCAGAAGAAGGCAUAUAAAGCACUUUCAAUCAUUCUCAAGGUAGUCUAUACACAUUUUAUUUGGUUUCCUGGUUAACCUAAAAAGUGUGGGUUGAUGUGAUUAAAGCAUAUUCAUAAAAGAGUUCAGAUAGUUUUGUUUCUUCAAAGUCGAAGGAACUGUUUGAGCUGAUGGUUGAAAUUCUUCAUUCAUGCCAUUUUUCUGCCAAGCGUCACAGACUUGAUUGCCUUUACUUCUUAAUAAUUCAUGCUUCAGUCAAAGGAUAGUUUGGAGGAAUUGUGGAGAAAAGAUGUUGAAGUUUUCCUUGUCGAAAUAAUCAUUGCUGUUAAAGAGGCUAAUAAAAAAACCAGAAACAGGGCUUGUGAAAUAAUUGUCCAAAUAGGCCAUGUACUUGGAGAUGAGGAAAGAGGUGGGAACAGAGAAAAAAUAAUCCACGAGUUUUUUGACAAGAAUUUGUAAGAUUUGGUUAUAGGAUCGUCUUGACAAAUAGUAAUAUGCAAGGCUAGCACAACCCAAAUUUUGAUGCUCCAAUCAAACCGAACAACAGCUCUACCAUGGGAAAAAGGUUACAUUAUUCUGCUGAAAUUUAGGACACAUUAGACAUUUUCUUCUGUUCCUUAUUACCUAAGGGAUCUUGGGUGCUCAAUGGGUCGGGUGGUGCGGAGAGAAUGAGCGGGUGAGGCCUUGAGUGGAUUUGGAGCGGGAGUAGAGGUGUCAGCUGGAAGAUAGUGACGUCGGAGACAGCGUGGACGGGAGGAGGGGGUGGCCACCUACAAGGACACUCCGACGAUCAAGUCAGUGUCCAUACGAGGCAAUAGCCAUAUUAGAUAAGAUGUCACAUACUUUGGGGGGAGAGCUGACCUCUCCCCUUAUAUACUGUGUUGGGUGGGCUCAUAGGUGACCUAGCCCACUGGCCAGGAAGCUUCUAUGAGUUGUCCUAGUCCAUGUGGAGGUCAGGUCGUUCUAGCUUCCGGGUCAGGGGUCUCGGGUGCUGCCUCAAGGGUACCGACCCGACCGGUUGCUAGGCGUGGUGACUUGAGCUGCUGUGGCAAGUUGUGCGUGCUUUGGGUCGGGUGUGGUGGACCAACCCGUCAGGUUGCCUCUGUUGGGGCUGGUUCGGAGCUUGGGUCGGUGGUGGUGGUCUGACCCGUCGGGUAGGCGGGCUGGACUGUGGCAGUCCGUAACAGUGCCCCCAACGUGUCGGCCUCGAGGUUUGGAGCUCGGGGCUGGGCGUGUUUGAUUUACUCACUGCAUCAGGACGUGUCUUCUUUUCCCGGAGUUUGUUGAUAACGUCUGUGUUCACGCGUGGCUGGCUUGUUUUUCCCUUGGGACUGUCUCCUUAGCUUCUGUGCUGGGCAUUAAAUGGCCAUUAUUUCAUGAAUUGAAAGUUGCGUGAAAUGACGGUUGUGCCCCUGUCUUUCGGCGCUCCUCUCGACGGUUUAUGUCUUUGGGCCUGCCCUUUUUAUUUUAUAACUUCUUCUUUACUUUUCUUUUCUUCUUCUGUUUUCUCUUAUCACUGUUGCUUCCAUUCUUCUCCUUUUUUUUUUGCUGUUGCUUCAGUAUUCUUGCUGUUGUUUCAAUCUGCUGCUUCGAUCUUCGAAUUCCUGUUUUGAUUUUCUGUGGACUCUUCCUGCAUUUUUCUGGUAUGUCCGAGCGUCCUGUGGUUUUGAACAUGGCUCAGCGGCCGUUAGCUGAUCUGGUCGACCACUAUGCCUGGGUUACUUCCGAGGUGAAGGAUACCCUGUCCAGGGUUACCCGCGAGAGCCUCCAAGAGCUUUGUCAGGUUGGGCUCUUGUGCGGAGGGGGUCCCGAGGAGGCGCUCUAUCAGGUUUAUGUCCCUGCUGACCGAGAAUGUGUUCGCCAAAAAAACUUGGCAUCUCCGUG